UACAGAGGCCCCAAGCGUUACUGAGAAUCACUGGGUUUAAAGGGUGCGUAGGUGGUCCGUUAAGUUCGUUGUGAAAGCCCUGGGCUCAACCCAGGAACUGCUUCGAAUACUGGCGGACUUGGGGCUAGUAGGGGUCACUGGAACUGACGGUGGAGCGGUGAAAUGCGUAGAUAUCGUCAGGAACGCCAAUGGUGAAGACAGGUGACUGGGCUAGGUCUGACACUGAGGCACGAAAGCGUGGGGAGCGAACGGG
This 253-nucleotide ribosomal RNA is filed under the name uncultured bacterium. Its description in RNAcentral is "partial 16S ribosomal RNA". It matches the Rfam family "Bacterial small subunit ribosomal RNA", at positions 524 to 776 of the family's 1533-position model. The record is from RNAcentral.